Non-coding RNA from Durio zibethinus, 3055 nucleotides. The record is from RefSeq and is a predicted model, not a curated record. Lineage: Eukaryota; Viridiplantae; Streptophyta; Magnoliopsida; Malvales; Malvaceae.
UCGCCUAAAUCGCAUCAACACAUUACUUUCUCUUUCAUUUCCCCUCAAAAUCACAAAUGCAAAUUAUUUUCAUUUUCAUUUUCAUUUUCUUUCCUCCGUCGAAAUCACAAACGUAGAUUAAAGCCUUUUAUUUUUAUUUUCCUUUCUUUUUCUUUUUCAAAUCAAAUCUGUUUCCCCUAUUUCGUUUAUAUUAGACAUUUUUUUCUAGAAGAUCCCUAGUCGGUGAAGAAGGCUGAUGAAGAAAAUGGCUAUGACUUCUUCAUCUUGCUCAAAUAUCCAGUCUGGGCUGAAUCUUGGAGGGUAGAAAGGAUAGUGGAACUCAUUCAGUUGAAAAUCACUCUCAUAACAGAAUUUGAAAAUUUGCUUUGAAUUUGAGUGAUUUUGGGAUUAGCUUUCGAAAAUGUUCUCCAUAAUUGGCAGUGGCUGGGAGCUCUACACUGUUUUCGGUGAGUUCUAGGAAGUACGCAUAUACUUAUACAAUACAUAACCUUGAAAGUUAAGGUGGUUGCAAUUUCCUCUUAUUACAGGGAUUUUUUAAAUGAGAAACAAGAUUCAUAUCAAAAUGUUCUACUAAUGAGAUGAUUUCAAAAAUAGAAAAAGUUGCAAUGCCCUUGGGUUUUGAUGUGAAGAAAACAACUACAAGAUGAAGCUUCUAAGGGAAAGAACUAGACGCAAAAGUCAUUUAGUUGUUACAAUAAAGAUUUUUCAGGUGGCUCAUUCAUUUUGCAUGGUUGAACUUCAAAAGUCUGGAAGAGACACCCUGGAAUUUCACAAGGUUUAACUAAUAGCAAGAUUGCAUCAUUACCACUUAAACAAAAUUUGAAGCUUUCUCCUUCUGAUGGUAUGCCACUUCUAGACCCAUCUUUGUAUCAAACUUUGGUAGGUAGUCACGUAUACUUGACAAUUACUCGUUCAGAUAUUGCUAUGCUGUUCAUCUAGUUAGUCAAUUUUUGUCUGCUCAUCGAUCUACUCAUUUUGCUGCUAUCCUCCAAAUCCUACAAUAUGUCAAGGGUACUAUGUUUCAUGGUUUAUAUUUUUCCUUUAGUUCCUCUUUGGAUUUGAAUUGUUAUUGUGACACUGAUUGGGCAAGAGAUCUUACUGAUUGUCGUUCUACCACAGGCUACUAUUUCUUUUUUGGUUCUUCUUAUUUCUUGGUGAAGUAAAAAACAAUUUGUGGUGUCCCGUUUUAGCACUGAAAUUGAGUAUUGAGCUCUUGCAGAUGCCACCUCAAAACUUUUAUGGUUAUGAUGGCAACUUCAAGAUAUGAGUGUUUCUUAUCACUCUAGUACUCUUAUAUUUUGUAACAAUCAAAGUGCCAUUUAGAUAGCUCACAAUAAUAUUUUUCAUGAGUGUACUAAACAUAUUGAAAUUGACUGUCACUUCAUUCAUCACCAUUUGUUUGCUCAAACUUUUUGACUUAUUCCUGUUACUAGUAUUGAUCAAAAAGUAGAUAUCUUCACCAACUCACAUGCACAUGGUCAAUUUCUUGUUCAAGUUUUCAAACUCAAGUUGGCUUUUACAUUACCGUCUUAAGUUUCCGGGGUGGGGGGUUGUCAAUGAUAGUCUAGUAAUGUUUUGGUAAUAUUCUAGAUUGAUUUGAUAUUAAUUUAGAGAAUAUUAGAUAUUGAUUUGAUAUUGAUUAGGUGAUUAUAGAAAUUGAUUUAGUCAUUAUUUCUAUUUAUUGUAUUUUUAUUUUAUAACAGUUUACCUCUGUAUAAAUAAGCUUUAAGCCUCAUUGUAAAACAUAAGUCAUUAUAAUAAAGUUUUCAUCAUUUUCUCCUUUCUCAAUGUUCAAAGUAAUUUCUUCCCUUAGAGAGACUGACCCACGUAACCGUUCUUUGAUCCUAUCUUGUUCAAAGCUUGUUGUUGGGGGUCCUGGUUUACCCCCAAAUAGGCCAAAAGAGAAGUUGAGGAAGUUUGUGGUGAAAACUUAGGAGUUCCUUGCUGCCUUCUUUCCCUUCUCAACCAUCUGUCCAUGCAAAUUCACAUCCGUUAGCUAGCAUUGAGUCCUCUGAACUCUACUAUCUGAAAAUGACGGUUGUUUCAUGGGGUGGACAUGGUGUCUUGUUACUUCUUCAUGAACUUUUGUUUGUGUUUGCUGAAGGUUUUGUGAAGAUGGGUAUGGUCCCUUUCAGCAUAUAUUUGAGACCAUGGGAGAUUACGUCCCCAAGUAAAGUCCUAUCAAUCCGCAUGUUAUCUUGCAUGGGGCUCGAAACAUCACUUUUAGGUGCGUCAUCAACUCCCUACCCAUGCCAACAAUUAUCUUAACUUUCAUAGUUAUAUUCAAAAUAUUGCUUCUAUCCUUAUUCGUUGUUUCCUCAACACCACUUUCCUUUUGAAUUAUGAAAAUCCAUUUUUUUUUUGAACUUCGGUUCUUUGUUUAGCAUUGACCAUCGGUAGCUUGCCCUUUUGUUUUUUCAUUCAGACUGUCAGCAAUUGAUUUUGACUUCUUUAAAAUAAGGCUGCCCCUUGUGAAGAUACUAAAGCGACAUUUUUCUUUUAUGAAGAGUAAUUACGUUUUUUUUGGGGGGCUAGUAUCCUUAAACAUGAAGAUGAGGACUGUCUCCUGUAGGUUAGCUUUAAGUGUAGUUGUUGACAAGUUUUAUUCCUAGCCUUUAUCAUCUGUACCAGCAUCCACGGUCCUAUAGUCGUUACCAUCUCUUUUUUUCUUCCUGUAGAUUUGCUGGUUGCUUGGUUUGUGUGGCCUCAAACCUUCCUUCCUGGGAUUGGACUGUGUGGGAUAUUGGUUUAUCAAGACAAAACUCUUUCGUAUGUCCUAUCUUUCCACAGUGGAAACACAAUAACCAAUUCCUUCAUAAAUAAUGGAUUGUUUCCUUCCCUCCACGUUUACAAAGCUCUUCAAUGGUUUGUCCAAGUUAACUUGGACACAUAAUUGAGCGAAUUUCCCUCUCUUCUAAAAAAAAGGUGUGGUUAUCAACCUUGAGAAGUCCCCUUAUACGCAUACCAACUUUUUGUUAAGAUCUCAAUAUCAUAAUAUUCGAGGUAACUCUAGUAGUCUUGCCCAAACCCUCAUAGAUGAGAAGGAUGCUUUAGA